This 1875-nucleotide ribosomal RNA is filed under the name groundwater metagenome. RNAcentral describes it as "bacterial LSU rRNA". The stretch from base 1 to 1340 matches the Rfam family "Bacterial large subunit ribosomal RNA", at positions 779 to 2044 of the family's 2925-position model. The record is from RNAcentral.
CUGGUGGGUGUCGCAAGACCCUCGGAUGACUUGUGGAUAGGAGUGAAAAGCUCAUCGAACCCGGAGAUAGCUGGUUCUCCUUGAUAUGCCUUUAGGGGCAGCCUCGUAGUACACCCUGGGGGGUAGAGCUACUGUUUGGAUGCGGGGGUCACCUCGACCUACCAAAUCCAGACAAACUCCGAAUACCCAGGCUUUGGCUACGGGAGUGAGACGGUGACAGCGAACUGCCAUCGUCGUGAGGGAAAUAGCCCAGAUCAUUUGCUAAGGUCCCCAAACUGUCGUUCAGUGGAAAAGGAAGUGCAGGUGCUUAAACGACCAGGAGGUUGGCUUAGAAGCAGCCAUCCUUUAAAGAAAGCGUAACAGCUCACUGGUCGAUGCACUUGUGCGCCGAAAAUGUAACGGGGCAAAACGACAUACCGAAGCAGUGAAUUCGUAUCCGUUCCGGAUACGAGUGGUAAAGGAGCGUUCCGUUCAGCAGUGAAGCGGCGACCGCGAGGUCCCGUGGAGCGAACGGAAGCGAGAAUGUUGGCAUGAGUAACUACUAGGCAGGUGAAAAUCCUGCCCGCCGAAUCCCCCAGGUUUCCCACGCAACGGUCAUCGACGUGGGGUUAGUCGGUCCUAAGGUCAGGCCGAAAGGCGUAGCCGAUGGAUAACAGGUUAAUAUUCCUGUACUUCGUGGAGAUCGCCCAGGGUUGCAGCAUGAGAGUCUUGCCGGCCUCUUUUCCCUUCGGGGAGAAUGUCAGCGAGAAAGGAUUGUUGCCGCCUAGGAGCGGCGUGACGGAGCGGGAAGAUCAGAGCGUGUGCAUUGACUGCACGUGGAAGGCGCGAGGCGUUGAUCCCGGGAGGUAAAUCCCCCGGGUGAGUCGAGCGUUUAUCCCAAUCACUCCCCGCGAGGGGGGCGAGUCUGUCCCUUUCUGCUUCCAAGAAAACCGUCGCAUCCGAGAGCUUCACGAAACCGUACCGCAAACCAACACCGGUGGGGUGGUCGAGUAGACCCAGGCGAACGGGUCACCUUGCGUUAAGGAACUCGGCAAUAAAGCACCCGUAACUUCGGGAUAAGGGUUGCCCUGUGGGAGUGAUCCCGCGGGGUCGCAGCAAAAGAGCUCAGGCGACUGUUUACCAAAAACACAGGUCCCUGCGAAGCCGCAAGGCUAUGUAUAGGGGCUGAUGCCUGCCCAGUGUCAGAAGGUUACCAAAGGGGGUGUAUGCCUCCGAUGUAAGCCCUGAUGAACGGCGGCCGUAACUAUAACGGUCCUAAGGUAGCGAAAUUCCUUGUCGGGUGGUCGACCCGGCUACGCUCUUUAAGAGCUACGCCGCGGUAUAAUGCUUGCCCGAAUGUCGCCGCAAGGCGCAGCACUGAGGAAUAUUCCAAAUGUUUUGGUACGUAGUCUCACGCAGAGACGCGUGAUGUCCUUCGCGACAAUGAAGGACGAGCUCGAAAAGAAGUUACAAUACAGGGUAAACCGAGUUUCAAUUAUUAAAGUGCUAGUACGAUCGUUCCGGCUACGUUCGCCGGGCUACGCUCUUUAGAGCUACGCCGCGACGAAACUACGCCGAGAUUUGCGACCCUACCUGGUCGUAUAUCAGUGCAAAACGUCGCUAUAUGCUGGAAUAUCCGAGAAUGGAGCACUACAUUGACACGUAAAGUUGUCGGUGUGACAAUGUGCCUCUUGCGCCGCAGUACCAGACGCUCCGCGUCGGUACACGGCAACGGACAAUCAGCAGGAAACUUUUCUCCCAUGAACAUGACUGAUAAAAAGGUUUAUGAUCCCGAGCAACCCGGAUAUGAUCCAGAACAACGAUUAGCAGAUGGGCUAGGAGUCACAAAAGAGGAAUUGAGUGAUGGGUUAUUUACGGGAAGAUACAGCAAAGAUC